GCGUUCGGGGUGUAGUGGUCAGCACACUCGACGUGUAACUGAGAGAUCCGCGAUUCGAUUCCCGGCGAGGGCA
Molecule: transfer RNA, 73 nt
Filed under: Stegodyphus mimosarum
Lineage: Eukaryota; Metazoa; Arthropoda; Arachnida; Araneae; Eresidae
Rfam family: tRNA
About the family: Transfer RNA (tRNA) molecules are approximately 80 nucleotides in length. Their secondary structure includes four short double-helical elements and three loops (D, anti-codon, and T loops). Further hydrogen bonds mediate the characteristic L-shaped molecular structure. tRNAs have two regions of fundamental functional importance: the anti-codon, which is responsible for specific mRNA codon recognition, and the 3' end, to which the tRNAs corresponding amino acid is attached (by aminoacyl-tRNA synthetases). tRNAs cope with the degeneracy of the genetic code in two manners: having more than one tRNA (with a specific anti-codon) for a particular amino acid; and 'wobble' base-pairing, i.e. permitting non-standard base-pairing at the 3rd anti-codon position.
Source: Rfam by way of RNAcentral